RNAcentral lists this long non-coding RNA (1134 nucleotides) under Canis lupus familiaris (dog). RNAcentral describes it as "lncRNA (ENSCAFG00040003407.1)". The record is from RNAcentral. Lineage: Eukaryota; Metazoa; Chordata; Mammalia; Carnivora; Canidae.
AUGACCGUGAGCUUUGGGGUCUCCGGCCUGGGGCCAGGGAGCAGAGCAGAAGGAUUGCCUCCGCUGUGGGGUCAGGCUCCAAGCUCCAGGAAAGUAAAGAGCAGGGCCUGGUGCCCUGCAGGGAGGCAAGGCCGUAUCUCCAUGGUGACCAGGCACACACUGGACUUUUGCUGCACUGGACUGGGGGAAGGGGGACGGUCACACUGGGCCAGGGAGCCCUGGACAACUUUGCCAGGGGCCUCGAUUGUGUCCCCCCGCAGGCCCUCCCCCAGCCCCUCAAGGACCGAGAGUUGGGCCACCUGGUUCCCUAAGUCGAACCCUGAGGGAUCGCCCAGCCCUUUCCGACCCUCCCACCCAUCCUCACUAGCUGUGCGCUCCUUAACAACCCACUUCCAUCUCACGCCUCAGUCUCUCCCUCCUACAGUGCGGAGGACAGGCGCGUCCCCACCCAGCGCCCAGCCCCGGGGCCUGUGGCCGCAGCUCUGGAUGCCUGUCCCCGCGCAUUUUGAAGCAGAAGGAGGCCACCCGGCGGCUGAUGUCAGGGUGCGGGGUGGCCUGCAGGAAGAGGGCCGGGCGCUCACGGGGCCCCAGCCCUCGGCUAGCAGCAGCUCAGACCCCCAGCUGCCCGCUCCGCGAACACCUGCGCGCUGGCCAAGGGCUGCGCAUGGGGGCCGGGGCGGGUACAGCCAGCGGACCCCGCCCCCGCCCCCGCCAGGACAGCUGGCACACGCCGCCCGGCUCCUGGGUCAGGCUGCUGCGGACGGGACCGACCGGCAGGCGCUCAGGCGGGGCGCCCGCACCCCCUGCGCCCGCACCCGCCCGGUUGCUCGGACCUGCCGCUCCAGCUGCAGCGAUGCUCGGAGCAGCCGGGCGGGCGGCGGGGGCAGGAGGCCGGAGCAGAGCGCGCACAGCAGCGCGAGGGGUCCCGUGGUCCCCUGGCGCCCCACGCACCCCUGCGCCCGCCGCACCUCUCCUCUGCGGGGCAGCCCGUGGGGGCCGGGCCCAGGAACUUUCCACCAAUCGCGGCGGUGCGCAUGGGGCAGGAGGCCGAGCCUCCGCGCUGCGGGGUGGGUGUCGCCCCCACGACCCCACAACCCCCGCACCUCCGCCUGCGCCCUGUCCGCCAGCCCUUGA